Long non-coding RNA from Passer domesticus (house sparrow), 5748 nucleotides. RefSeq lists it as uncharacterized. The record is from RefSeq and is a predicted model, not a curated record. The transcript has 3 exons. NCBI's taxonomy places the organism in Eukaryota, Metazoa, Chordata, Aves, Passeriformes, Passeridae.
CUGUUUUGGAAACAUCAGUAACAACUUGGUAGCUGAGGUUUAACCUCUUGCUUAGAUAAAUAUACAACAUUAUUCUCUACACAUUCUUUUCCGUGUUUUUUCAUUACUUUUUAGAGGGAGAUGCUUCUUUCUGGCUGAAUCUGGUUUGAAUUUCACACAUAUUUCAAACUGUACUUUAUGUUUGCCAGUUCCACACUCCACAUUAUAAAAAACAACCAAAAAAAUAAUGAUCUUGUUCAUUGCUCCACAAAGUUCUGGGAACAUUUUCUGCUACUGAAUAUGUAUGUAUAUGUGUCAAUUAGAGAAUUAAUGAUUGCUGUGGUGGGAAAGUUUGGGAGACAGAUAAGUGUGGCAUUCACAUUCUCUGAAAAAAUUCCUUCGCCCAGGAUUUUUCUCAUGGGAAGCUGGGAAGCCUUAGAGAAAAAGAAAACAAUUCUUAUCUCAUUUGCUUCCCCUGUGUUGUGCUCACAUGUGGAAUGUGUUUGGAGAUUGUUUAUCCACAGGUGAUUGUUUCAUUGGAUUCUGCUGUGAGUUGUUCUGACUCUUUGGCCAACUGGGGCGAAGCUGUGUUGGGACUCUGGAGAGAGUCACGAGUUUUCAUUAUUAUCUUUUUAGCAUUCAUGGAUGGAUAUGCCCUCUGGAUGUGGCUGUCCAAGAAAUACCUCAUAAACCUCUGAGCCCACCCAUCAAAUCCAUCUCUCCGCAGCUUAAAGAAAAGGAUGCUGUGGGGCACUGAGCCAAAGGCCUUACAGAAGUGCCCAGGUGCUGCUGUUGAGCUGUGUGACAGCAGUGUGACAGCCUGCAACUGCCACAUGCCUAAAUAAUCGUUUCUGCUACUUCUGGAAUGGAAAAAUAAUUUCUGGUCUGGAAAACCAAAGUUAGAUGAAGCAGAAUGGACAAGACCAAGACAGUUUGAAUGUAGCUUUUUCCUGGGAAAAGAAUUAAAGAUUGCUUGAUCUUCUGCUGUACACUUCACCAAUUUUUGUCUUUUUUCCCUUUAUAAAUCAACAAAGGCCAUCAUACAAAUGCCAGAGUACCUGUUGAUAUCAGCAUGGAAGACUUACUGUGAUAAAUUUUUAAGAUCCUGUCAUCUUGCUGUGUAGGAGCCUUGAAUUUUAAUCUGGGGAAACCUGAGCUUUGUUUUGAUGUUUGUCUAGUGCCAAACAUGUAGAUUCUGCUUUAUGACUAGGGAGCUUUGCUGUAAAUAAGAUGAAAAUAAUAAUUAAUACAGUGUUCCAUUGUAAAAUGAGAGUGGUUGCACUAAAUCCAGGAUGAAUGUGGGCUGAAUGAGAAGAUGGAAUGAAAUCUUUAUGUUGAGAUGAGUUAACAGAACCCCAUCACUCUUCAGCUAUUCAUUCUCCUUAGGACCAUCCUUUAUCAGCAUGUAAGUAACAUUUGCAUUGUGUAGGUUUGAUGAUAAAAAAGACAUUGUUAACUUUUCACAAGAGAUUGCUUUCCCCUUUAGUGGAAAUGUAUCCUGCAGCUGAGAACAUUCUGAUAGGUUUUUAAUUAGUCCUUGUGUUAGGAAGAAAUUCCUUUCUGUGGGUUUGGGUUGUGCUGAAAGAAUACGGGUUAGAGCUUUCACUUGUAUCUAGGGAUAAAGGACAGGGAAAGGCUGCUGGGCUUGUUGUUUCACUUGAAUUGACAAGAGGAAAAGGCAUAAACUGUCAGACUCUGUCUGCCUGAUAUCAAAGUUGCUGAAACAGGAGAAGUAUUUGAGUAAACAGAGUUUUUAAUUGCAAGUUUUUAAUCUGACACUUAUGGAAUGUAUCAUUGAAAGUAAUAGAUGAUGCACCAGCUUCUGAAAAAUAUAAUUUCUUGUCUUUGCUUGGCAUUAGUCAGAGCCAUUUUUAUUAAUUCAUGCAUUAAUGUUUAGCAGGUACAAAGUGUUUUCCCUAAUAACAGAUUUUUUGUAGGUGGCAAGUUCAUCAAAAUUUAAUUGAGGCACUUUAAAUGAUCUGACUGCAAAAUAUUUUUAGUAUGUUCAAUCAAAAUCAGACUUGUCUUUUGAAAUGUUUUAAUGUCCUGAAAUCAUAUGCCCUUAGAUGUUAACCCUUCUAUAAACUAUCUCUGUGCUUUAAGGAAAGAAAAUUUAAAGUUUUUUUGUUGGACUUGUUAAAAUUCUUUAUAUUUCUUAAAUAUCGUAUUGAGGCAAACUCUUUGAAGUUAAUUCAUGCCAUAAAUAACAUUUGGCUGUGCCAGUCCUCAUUUUAAAGUCAUUAGCAAGAAUACUUCAAACACAGGUAAUGAAAGGCAGAUACAUUUGAGUUGGCUGUUGGCUGUUCACUGUUUUCUCUCUCCUACACCAAGGUGCACACACAAAUCACAACCCCAAAAGGAGUGAUAAAUAAAUAAAUAAAAGGAGUGUUUUGAUUUGGAGGCCAUGUAAUGGCUUUGUUAUAAAAGCAAGAGGCUGUGCUCUUAACCCACUUAGAUUUUUAUGGUGUGUAUUCCCCCACAGACCCUGAGCUGAAGAUUUUGUUCCCAGAGCAUCUCCCAAGGAGAAAACUUCCCUCUGGAUAUGCCCAUGCUACUCCAAAGGCAUAAAACCCAGUGCUGCUCCCUUGUCAUCUUAGUCCCUCCUGCUACCUAAGUGACAUAUUUUAAUGGUGUUACUUUAAAGGAAUUAUCUGUAAAACACAGAAAUUUCUGGUAUUGUUUCAGUUGUCCUAAAUUCUCAGCUUUUGGAUUACUCAUGGCUACAGUUAUUUAUGCCAUUGAACGAGUGGUUAUAUUAAUACAGACAAAAUUGUCUGAGAUUUACAUAAAUUAUUUUCAAAGAGUAGAGAGAGUUUAAUGGAAUCUUAUGUAAAUUAAAAAGAAAACAAAUAUUGCAGGAGAGACCAGGCACUUAGCAGCUAACUGGACUUGCUAGGGUAAAACAUAAGACUGUGCCUCUUGGAAAAAGUUCUAUAUUAAUUUUCAUAAGUGUUAUGAAACUGUCCUUCACAUUAAAAAAAAAAAAUUAAACUUUUAGGCAACAAAGUAAAUCAGGGAUGUCAAAAACAAAGCAGCACUGGUGUUCCAGCCAUCUCCCUUGCUGCCUUUUAUAUUCAAGGUGUGUAAAUCUUGUAUGGCCGGACUGAUGUGAAGGGCAGCUCACCAAGGGCCCCUUAGCAGCUGAUGACAAAACCACCAGGACAUCCUUUGGUACCUCAGAGCCCUCUUGCCCCUGACUGCUCUGCUUGGAAAAUGUGGGCAGAGUGCUUUCAGCCUCGCUGAUGAAGCAGAGAGCUGUUAUUUAUAAGACUGCUCCUGUUCAUAAUUGGCCAUUUCCAGCCCAAAAUUGGUCACUGUGCCCCUGUAGUGCCACAAUCAGCCACAUUCUGCUCCAUCUCAGGACUUACUUGUGAGCAUCAGCACUUGUUCUCCUUACUGGAAUCUGUGCUGUUUUGCUGACCAUGUUUUUUUCCUGCCUCGUCAGCCAUAAGGGAAUGAUCUAGAAGGAACAUAAUUCAGAGAAUAAACACAAGAAAACUGUCUUUCUGUUAAGCAGGGUUUCAUAGCAAUCUGCCUACUUGCAAAGCUGCUAUCAGAACAUCUGAUUAAAAAAUCUUUAAACAAGUGGAUAUAGUUCUCAUUUCUGACCUGGUUGAUGUCUGUUUAAUGGGAACUUAAUCAGAAAAACUCACAUUACUAUGAAAAAGCCCGUUUUUCAGAAAUAGAAGACAGCUCCUUCCAGAUUUCAGAAAGAGCUUGACAAAUGGAACAAAAUCCUACAAGUAAAAAUAAAAGCUUAAAUAGUCAAAGGAGUUCUUUAGGACAAAAAAAAAAAAACCCCACCUGCUAUUAAGAAAAUAAUCAGUACAAACAGAAAUGUCAAAUUAUUUUCUUCCAAACAAGAUAUGAUUUUAUCCACUGGGAUUCUCCUAAAUUUUCUCUUUGAAAUUUUCCAUAAUAUUGAAAACAAAAUUAAGAUUUUUUUAUAACAGAGAAAGUUAAGUUCUGUCAGAAAUAGUACUGGAGGAAGCCCUGCAUAUGAAAACUAGGAUCUUCUAUCAUUCCUGUUGUUUAGAUCUUUCUGACACCAGUUUUCUGAAAGGCUAGCAAACAUGAGAUAGCCAAAGUUCCUUCAUUUUGAAAUUUGUAGGAAUAUUGUGUUCUUUUCAAUAGUUUCAGACCUCUUAAUAUUUCUACUUAGUCUAAAAUAAAAAUAACACCAUCUGCAGCCCUGCUAGAGGCAAUUCUUUUACCCUGUAACAAGAUUCAGAUCAGGAAAGAAAUACAACGUUUUACAUUAUAAAAUGUAUAAUGCUCCAUUAUAUCAACAUUCUUGUAACAACUUCAGUACAGUUAAUUUGGUCAUUGAGAUUGAUGAAUGGCAUGGAUUUUCCUGUGUCACUACUUUUUUUGGGUAUAACAUUUCAGGAGCAGUCAUUCAGCUGCUCUGCCUCCUCCACUUCCAUUGUCAUUCUUUGUUCUUGUUUAGAGCAUCCUCUGUCUCAAGUUAUUUUGAAUUUUGAAGUUGUGAUUUGCUCCUAGGGGUGGUUUUUUAAGAUGUGUGAAUUAGGUAAGUGCUACCCCUGCUUACUAUGGCUUUCUGGACUGGGGUUUUUUAAUAAAUAAUUUUUUAAAAUAUUUAUUUAUAAAUAAAAUUUUAAAUAUUUAAUUAUAAAUAAAUGUUUUAAAUAAAUAUUUUUAUAUUUAUUAAAAUAUUUAAAUAUGUCAAUAAUUUAAAUAUUUCACCUACAGUGAAAUAUUGACAUUAUUUUGGAUCCCUUGUGCAAACACAGUGAUCUUGUGACACAGCUUCAGCAACAGACCUAUGUGCAGCCCAUGUCAUCCACCUUUAUUUCAUGGUGAAGGAACUGAUCAGGGAAGGAAGAAAACCUGAUUUUCACAUGGUUUGCUGAAGGUUCAGCAACAUUCACAGCACAGUACCCUGAAGGUUGCUCCAGACCAAAAUGUUCAUUUUAUAUGGAGAAGAUGAGAAAAAAGAGAAUAGGAGAUUAUGUAAGGGAAAAGAUACUUACUGCAGAGUAACUACAAAUCCUUGACAGAAUUCCCCAAGAGGCCAGGCUGGAGUUUUUGCUGGGUGAACCUUCUCCAUCUGGUUUGAGGAGCUCUACAGGAGCCCAUGUCAUGGUUCUUUACUAUGGAGGCUGAAAUGAAAAAGGGUGAAAACAGUGUCUGAACCCAUGACCAGAGUGGGAGCUACUUGUAGGAACAGACUUAUUCUACCAAAACGUUGCGCGUGUCACAAGAUUAAGAAAUGCAUCUCAAGUGGUGAUGGUGCCUGAACUGCAGAAGCUAAUUUCAGAAAUUUUACAUUCCAGUCCCAGAAGUCUGUGUGCUCCUGCAGAAAGUGAAGCAAUAUCAGUCCUGAAAAGUUAACAUUAUAACAACAAAACAUCAAGGAAGAUCCCGAGAGGGAAGCAAUCCUGAAAAUGUUGAUAUCAUAAACCAAGAAUUUUCAGGCAGGCUUUGAAAUAGUUUAAAAUGAUUGCACAGAAUAACAAGUGGAAAAAAAUGUAAGAAAACACAUUUGUGUGCUCUUUAUAGGAUUUUGCCUCUCUGACAACUCUGCUUGUCAGAGCUGAAGUAGUUUAGAGGGUGUUUAAGUAAUUACUGGAAAUUGAGUUGCUUAUUUUACCUCAUGAUCAUGCACCCUUCAAGAACCCUGCAAUUGCGUGUAGAAUACAUGAAUGUGGUUCUUACUCUGAAAAAGCCCUAAAAAUUCUUAGUAGACAAUUGGUUGCAGUUAAGAGUUAGAUAUUUGAAAUGUACAGAAUAGAACUUGCAGCUUUU